RNAcentral lists this ribosomal RNA (498 nucleotides) under Enterobacteriaceae bacterium B111. Its description in RNAcentral is "bacterial SSU rRNA". It matches the Rfam family "Bacterial small subunit ribosomal RNA", at positions 33 to 521 of the family's 1533-position model. Lineage: Bacteria; Pseudomonadati; Pseudomonadota; Gammaproteobacteria; Enterobacterales; Enterobacteriaceae. The record is from RNAcentral.
GACGCUGGCGGCAGGCCUAACACAUGCAAGUCGAACGGUAGCACAGAGAGCUUGCUCUUGGGUGACGAGUGGCGGACGGGUGAGUAAUGUCUGGGAAACUGCCCGAUGGAGGGGGAUAACUACUGGAAACGGUAGCUAAUACCGCAUAACGUCGCAAGACCAAAGUGGGGGACCUUCGGGCCUCACACCAUCGGAUGUGCCCAGAUGGGAUUAGCUAGUAGGUGGGGUAAUGGCUCACCUAGGCGACGAUCCCUAGCUGGUCUGAGAGGAUGACCAGCCACACUGGAACUGAGACACGGUCCAGACUCCUACGGGAGGCAGCAGUGGGGAAUAUUGCACAAUGGGCGCAAGCCUGAUGCAGCCAUGCCGCGUGUAUGAAGAAGGCCUUCGGGUUGUAAAGUACUUUCAGCGAGGAGGAAGGCAUUGUGGUUAAUAACCGCAGUGAUUGACGUUACUCGCAGAAGAAGCACCGGCUAACUCCGUGCCAACAGCCGCGGU